This 33-nucleotide unclassified non-coding RNA is filed under the name Mus musculus (house mouse). RNAcentral describes it as "oocyte_clustered_small_RNA11028". Lineage: Eukaryota; Metazoa; Chordata; Mammalia; Rodentia; Muridae. The record is from RNAcentral.
GUGGCCAAGGUCCUGUGGAUGCAAGGGUCUCAG